This 405-nucleotide ribosomal RNA is filed under the name bacterium enrichment culture clone ALO1_GLFRUDD03GLC8B. RNAcentral describes it as "bacterial SSU rRNA". It matches the Rfam family "Bacterial small subunit ribosomal RNA", at positions 9 to 410 of the family's 1533-position model. The record is from RNAcentral.
GAGUUUGAUCCUGGCUCAGAUUGAACGCUGGCGGCAGGCCUAACACAUGCAAGUCGAGCGGAUGACGGGAGCUUGCUCCUUGAUUCAGCGGCGGACGGGUGAGUAAUGCCUGGGAAUCUGCCUGGUAGUGGGGGGACAACGUUUCGAAAGGAACGCUAAUACCGCAUACGUCCUACGGGAGAAAGCAGGGGACCUUCGGGCCUUAGCGCUAUCAGGAUGAGCCUAGGUCGGAUUAGCUAGUUGGUGGGGUAAUGGCUCACCAAGGCGACGAUCCGGUAACUGGUCUGAGAGGACUGAUCAGUCACACUGGAACUGAGACACGGUCCAGACUCCUACGGGAGGCAGCAGUGGGGAAUAGUUGGACAAUGGGCGAAAGCCUGAUCCAGCCAUGCCGCGUGUGUGAAG